UGAGGAAUAUUGCACAAUGGGCGAAAGCCUGAUGCAGCAACGCCGCGUGAGGGACGAAGGCCUUCGGGUCGUAAACCUCUUUUCUGGGGGACGAGUAAGGACGGUACCUCAGGAAUAAGUCUCGGCUAACUACGUGCCAGCAGCCGCGGUAAAACGUAGGAGGCGAGCGUUAUCCGGAUUUACUGGGCGUAAAGCGUACGCAGGUGGCUUCGUGAGUCGGACAUGAAAGCUCCCGGCUUAACUGGGAGAGAUUGUUCGAUACUGCGGGGCUUGAGGUUGGGAGAGGGACGUGGAAUUCCCGGUGUAGUGGUGGAAUGCGUAGAUAUCGGGAGGAACACCAGUGGCGCAAGCGGCGUCCUGGCCCACACCUGACGCUGAGGUACGAAAGCGUGGGUAGCAAACAG
RNAcentral lists this ribosomal RNA (404 nucleotides) under uncultured bacterium. RNAcentral's name for it is "bacterial SSU rRNA". It matches the Rfam family "Bacterial small subunit ribosomal RNA", at positions 355 to 775 of the family's 1533-position model. The record is from RNAcentral.